CUCUGCCUACAAUAUUUGCUUUAAAUUACGGGAGGUGGAAUUCGAUGAUCAGGUUUGUUUGGGGCAGAGGUAAUUUAAUUUAGAGGCUAGCAAGGUUUAGGCUAAAACUAGGAUUAGAUACCCUAUUAUGCUAUACGUAAACAAUAUCCGAGCUUGAGGAGUAUUAGUUAAGUUCUUGAAAUUUAGAGGAUUUGGCGGCAAUCCACCCUAGUCAGAGGAACCUGUGCCUUGAUACGAUAUGCCACGAAUUAUCUUACUUUAUCUUGUUUUCAGCCUGUAUACCUCCAUUUAGUUAUUAUUCAUAAAUAUAUAGUUCAAUAAAGGAUAAAUUCUUUAGUAAAUUAGGUCAAGGUGCAGCCUAUGAUAAAGUGGUCAUGUGUUACAUUGUUAUUUAUACUUGAGUGCUUAAAAGGCAUUCUGUGUGGAUGGAUUUUUGAAAUUAUUUUCUGAAAUAGUAUUUGAUUGUAAAUUUAUUUUAAUAAGGUAAAUUGAUAGAGUUUUGGGUUGUGUACAAAUCGCCCGUCGCUCUCGAAC
This 534-nucleotide ribosomal RNA is filed under the name Jocaste lucina. RNAcentral's name for it is "partial small subunit ribosomal RNA". The stretch from base 156 to 534 matches the Rfam family "Microsporidia small subunit ribosomal RNA", at positions 752 to 1210 of the family's 1311-position model. Lineage: Eukaryota; Metazoa; Arthropoda; Malacostraca; Decapoda; Palaemonidae. The record is from RNAcentral.